Molecule: non-coding RNA, 72 nt
Organism: Bos taurus (domestic cattle)
Lineage: Eukaryota; Metazoa; Chordata; Mammalia; Artiodactyla; Bovidae
Source: Rfam
UCCCUGGUGGCUCAGAUGGUAGAGAAUUUGCCUGCAAUGCAGGAGACCUGGGUUUAAUCCCUGGGUUGGGAA